GCAAACUUGGUCAUUUAGAGGAAGUAAAAGUCGUAACAAGGUCUCCGUUGGUGAACCAGCGGAGGGAUCAUUACCAGAGCGCCUUCAGGCACUCCAACCCACUGUGAACAUACCUACGUUCCCCUGGCGGGCUCAGCGCGCGCGGCCUCGGCCGCGGGCGUCCGCCGGGGGCAGACCAAACCCGUUUUUACAGCGUGUAUCUGAGGGGCGACAGCCCGUAAAACAAAUAAAUCAAAACUUUCAACAACGGAUCUCUUGGCUCUGGCAUCGAUGAAGAACGCAGC
RNAcentral lists this unclassified non-coding RNA (284 nucleotides) under uncultured fungus. RNAcentral's name for it is "partial contains small subunit ribosomal RNA, internal transcribed spacer 1, and 5.8S ribosomal RNA". The stretch from base 1 to 73 matches the Rfam family "Eukaryotic small subunit ribosomal RNA", at positions 1759 to 1831 of the family's 1831-position model. The record is from RNAcentral. Lineage: Eukaryota; Fungi.